Molecule: long non-coding RNA, 233 nt
Filed under: Populus tremula
Lineage: Eukaryota; Viridiplantae; Streptophyta; Magnoliopsida; Malpighiales; Salicaceae
Description: long non-coding RNA (PTRE_LNC000476)
Source: RNAcentral
AGAUCUAUCCUCCAAGCAGGUAAUGAACUGGCCAGUGAAGAAGGCAUCUUUUCCUUCCUAAUACUUCUUUUGAAGGUUUCCGUCUUUUACUUGCUAUUUAUCUUGUCCGGUGACGUAUUUCUAUUUCUUUAUCAGCAGGCUAAAGUCCCGAACUCCUGCUGUAAGACUCGGCUUCUUUUUCCGCCGAACGUAGGAUGAAAAGAAGGGAAGAUUAGAGAUUGACCUCUCUCUUC